Molecule: long non-coding RNA, 732 nt
Organism: Cynoglossus semilaevis (tongue sole)
Lineage: Eukaryota; Metazoa; Chordata; Actinopteri; Pleuronectiformes; Cynoglossidae
Exons: 2
Source: RefSeq, a predicted model, not a curated record
UGUUAACACAUUUUUGGUAGGCUGGGACAGUGACAUGUCUACUAUUUUACAUCUACUGCCAUCAUCUGCGCAAGUUCGAAAAAGGCCAGGAAAGAUGUCUGCAUCUCAAGAUGUACAUCAGCUCAUUAAAUUUCAAAAGACUGGAAUCAGUGUGCAGCAGCAUUUAGACAACAUCACCCAGCCAGCCCUACCUUCUUGCUGUGGGAACCACACCAAGCAGCAUUCACCACUACUUCAUUGUGAUCGACAAGCAUGCACUUCCUUGCAAGGCAUCUAGUUCUGUGGGAGUCUUUGACAAACUCUUGAAGGCUCAUUAUGGCCUGUAUGUCAUACAGUUCCUCCUUGACCAACUUUUUUACUUUUGUGCAAACUACCAUCUACAACAUUGACAUGGGAGAAACAUAACACGCUCACUUACCGCCCACAUUUGAUUGUCUGUGGCAGAAUUGAAUCUAAAAUGCCCCUGUUUUUGGAGUUUGUUUAUUGUAUUGUUUUGAUUAUUGUUCUGAUUAUAGAUAGAAAACUGUUAUUGCUUACUGUGCCUUUAAUUCCAAUUACUUUUCAAGAGCAUCUCCAUGCAUAUGAAGUGAGUAGGUCAAAGCAUGAUUUUGUUCACUUUCAUGUGGACAACCUGCAAUAUCCUAGGCCUUUUGACCUACAAAGGUCAUGUGGAGUGAAUAACUCUUCAUUAUUCAUUGUCCCAUAUUGCUUUCUUUUGUAAGCUUUCAUUUU